CCACAAGAUGAGAUUUCUUUUAAGGGUCGUAUAAGACGACUACGUUGAUAGGUCACAGGUGUAGAGGCAGUAAUGUCUUAGCCGAGUGAUACUAAUUACCCGUAGGCCUAUCGUA
Molecule: ribosomal RNA, 115 nt
Filed under: Flavobacteriaceae bacterium
Lineage: Bacteria; Pseudomonadati; Bacteroidota; Flavobacteriia; Flavobacteriales; Flavobacteriaceae
Description: partial 23S ribosomal RNA
Rfam family: Bacterial large subunit ribosomal RNA
Source: RNAcentral